GUUGUAUGGUUAAGUGACUAAGCGUACACGGUGGAUGCCUGGGCAGUCAGAGGCGAUGAGGACGUACUAACUUGCGAUAAGCGCAGAUAAGGCAGUAAGAGCCGUUUGAGU
Molecule: ribosomal RNA, 111 nt
Filed under: Vibrio cholerae
Lineage: Bacteria; Pseudomonadati; Pseudomonadota; Gammaproteobacteria; Vibrionales; Vibrionaceae
Description: partial 23S ribosomal RNA
Source: RNAcentral